AGGGAUGUCGAUGCUUACACAUGCAGUCGAUUCAAGUUACCUUCGGGUAAUGAGGAUGGCGGACGGGUGAGUAACGCGUAAGGAACUUGCCUCUUGGACUGGGACAACUGUUGGAAACGACAGCUAAUACCGGAUAUUAUGAGAUUCUCGCAUGAGAAACUUAUGAAAGCUAUAUGCGCCAAGAGAGAGCCUUGCGUUCCAUUAGCUAGUUGGUGGGGUAACGGCCCACCAAGGCGACGAUGGAUAGCCGGCCUGAGAGGGUGAACGGCCACAAGGGGACUGAGACACGGCCCUUACUCCUACGGGAGGCAGCAGUGGGGAAUAUUGGACAAUGGGCCACAAGCCUGAUCCAGCAAUUCUGUGUGCACGAUGAAGGUCUUCGGAUUGUAAAGUGCUUUCAGUUGGGAAGAAGAAAGUGACGGUACCAACAGAAGAAGCGACGGCUAAAUACGUGCCAGCAGCCGCGGUAAUACGUAUGUCGCAAGCGUUAUCCGGAUUUAUUGGGCGUAAAGCGCGUCUAGGCGGAAAAAUAAGUCUGAUGUUAAAAUGCGGGGCUCAACUCCGUAUUGCGUUGGAAACUGUUUUUCUAGAGUACUGGAGAGGUGGGCGGAACUACAAGUGUAGAGGUGAAAUUCGUAGAUAUUUGUAGGAAUGCCGAUGGAGAAGUCAGCUCACUGGACAGAUACUGACGCUGAAGCGCGAAAGCGUGGGGAGCAAACAGGAUUAGAUACCCUGGUAGUCCACGCCGUAAACGAUGAUCACUAGGUGUUGGGGGUCGAACCUCAGCGCCCAAGCUAACGCGAUAAGUGAUCCGCCUGGGGAGUACGCACGCAAGUGUGAAACUCAAAGGAAUUGACGGGGACCCGCACAAGCGGUGGAGCAUGUGGUUUAAUUCGACGCAACGCGGGAAACCUUACCAGCGUUUGACAUCCUAAGAAGUUUCCAGAGAUGGAUUCGUGCCGGCUUGCCGGAACUUAGUGACAGGUGGUGCAUGGCUGUCGUCAGCUCGUGUCCUGAAAUGUUUGGGUUAAGUCCCGCAACGAGCGCAACCCCCUAUUGUAUGUUGCUACCCAUUAAGUUGAGCACUCAUGCGAUACUGCCUGCGAUGAACAGGAGGAAAAGGGGGGGGAAGAACCUCCAAGUCAUCAUGGCCCCCUUAUAACCCUGGGGGUACACACCUGGCUUCAAUGGGGGCGCUACAAAAAAAUUGGCCACCCUCCCCCAGAAGGGAUCUGAACUCCUUAAAAACGGUUGUUAUGUUUUCGGAAUUGGUGCUCCCCACAACCCCAAGCCCAAGGAGAGGAUAGUUCG
This 1311-nucleotide ribosomal RNA is filed under the name uncultured bacterium. Its description in RNAcentral is "bacterial SSU rRNA". It matches the Rfam family "Bacterial small subunit ribosomal RNA", at positions 29 to 1319 of the family's 1533-position model. The record is from RNAcentral.